Molecule: ribosomal RNA, 253 nt
Filed under: uncultured bacterium
Lineage: Bacteria
Description: partial 16S ribosomal RNA
Rfam family: Bacterial small subunit ribosomal RNA
Source: RNAcentral
UACGAAGGGGGCUAGCGUUGCUCGGAAUCACUGGGCGUAAAGGGUGCGUAGGCGGCGCGGUAAGUCGGGUGUGAAAUCUCGGAGCUUAACUUCGAAACUGCAUUCGAUACUGCCGUGCUUGAGGACUGGAGAGGAGACUGGAAUUUACGGUGUAGCGGUGAAAUGCGUAGAUAUCGUAAGGAAGACCAGUGGCGAAGGCGGGUCUCUGGACAGUUCCUGACGCUGAGGCACGAAGGCCAGGGGAGCAAACGGG